RNAcentral lists this signal recognition particle RNA (99 nucleotides) under Clostridiales bacterium. RNAcentral describes it as "signal recognition particle sRNA small type". It matches the Rfam family "Bacterial small signal recognition particle RNA". From Rfam's summary of the family: The signal recognition particle (SRP) is a universally conserved ribonucleoprotein involved in the co-translational targeting of proteins to membranes. Lineage: Bacteria; Bacillati; Bacillota; Clostridia; Eubacteriales. The record is from RNAcentral.
GUGCAGGCCCUGUGCAACAGAACACCGUGAACCAUGUCAGGCGGGGAACCGAGCAGCAUUAAGCGGAUUGUUUUGUGUGCCGCAGCAAGCCUGUACACU